GUUUGUUUAACAUAUAUGUUCCACCAUAGACAGCACUAAGGCGAGCAAAUGCCUGUGGAAGCUCUCCUAAUCCAUGUAGAGGAUAGAUGUACGGAGACCCUCCUUGAAAGCGUGCAAGAGACUCCGCAUAAAGCUUCAUUCUCUUUACUGUAUCUAAUGCAGGCAGAUCAAGAUAACGAUCAUCUCUAUGAAGUGCCAAUGCAUGACCAAUGAAGUCAAUAGUGUUGUCAUCCAGUCCAUACUUUCUGUUAACCGUAUCAAUUCAUAUAAGCACAUUCUAUACAAAU
Molecule: unclassified non-coding RNA, 287 nt
Filed under: Hevea brasiliensis (rubber tree)
Lineage: Eukaryota; Viridiplantae; Streptophyta; Magnoliopsida; Malpighiales; Euphorbiaceae
Source: RNAcentral